GUGCGUUCUACAGCAGCAUAUUUGAGACAUCCAAGUUGGAAGAAACCCAAUUGGAGAUGGCAUUAUCAUAUUCUGCUAAUGGUAGGGAAAAGCACAGGAGCCUGGCAUGGCUGUCCUUUGAGAGGCCCAGCAUGCAGCUGAUUGAGACAGAUGCAGAUACUUACAUCCAACCACUGGACGGAGGUCAGGGAACCCUAUGGAAGAGUUAUGGGAAGCACUAAAGGAACUGAAGGGGAUGGAAACCCCAUAGGAAGAACAGGGUCAACUAACCUGGACCCCUGGAAAUAACCAGAGACUAAGCCACCAACCAAAGAGCAUACAGGGGCUGGCUGGAGGUCUCUGGCAUAUACGUAGCAAGGGCGCAUAUGCCUUAUCUGGACUCAGUGAUUGAAAAAUGUGCCUAAUCCUGAAGAGACUCGAUGCCCCAGAGAAGGAGGAAGUGAAAGCAGAAUGAGUGGGAAGGGCAACAUUUGGGAUGUAAAUAAAUAAAAUGAUUACUUUAUAAAAAGAGAAAA
This 515-nucleotide long non-coding RNA is filed under the name Mus pahari (shrew mouse). RNAcentral's name for it is "lncRNA (MGP_PahariEiJ_G0003990.1)". The record is from RNAcentral. Lineage: Eukaryota; Metazoa; Chordata; Mammalia; Rodentia; Muridae.